CCUACGGGAGGCUGCAGUGGGGAAUAUUGCACAAUGGGGGGAACCCUGAUGCAGCGACGCCGCGUGGGUGAGGAAGGACUUCGGGAUGUAAAGCCCUAUCAGCAGGGAAGAAAAUGACGGUACCUGACGAAGAAGGCACGGCUAACGACGUGCCAGCAGCCGCGGUAAUACGUAGGGGGCAAGCGUUAUCCGGAUUUACUGGGCGGAAAGGGAGCGUAGACGGCGUGCCCAGUGUGGUUUGAAAGGCCGGGGCUCAACCCCGGGACUGCAUUGGAAACUGGCAUGCUGGAGUGCCGGAGGGGCAAGCGGAAUUCCUUGUGUAGCGGUGAAAUGCUUAGAUAUUAGGAGGAACCCCGGUUGCGAAGGCGGCUUGCUGGACUGUAACUGACGUUGAGGCUCGAAAGCGUGGGUAGCAAACAGGAUUAGAUACCCUUGUAGUC
This 440-nucleotide ribosomal RNA is filed under the name uncultured bacterium. Its description in RNAcentral is "partial 16S ribosomal RNA". It matches the Rfam family "Bacterial small subunit ribosomal RNA", at positions 338 to 795 of the family's 1533-position model. The record is from RNAcentral.